This 23-nucleotide non-coding RNA is filed under the name Arabidopsis thaliana (thale cress). Lineage: Eukaryota; Viridiplantae; Streptophyta; Magnoliopsida; Brassicales; Brassicaceae. The record is from RNAcentral.
ACCGCGAAGGGACGCUCGUUUCG